UGGAGGCUGAAACCCGCCUCCAUGAAGUUGGAUUCGCUAGUAAUCGCGCAUCAGCCAUGGCGCGGUGAAUACGUUCCCGGGCCUUGUACACACCGCCCGUCAAGCCAUGGGAGCCGGGGGUGCCUGAAGUUCGUGACCGCAAGGAGCGACCUAGGGCAAAACUGGUGACUGGGGCUAAGUCGUAACAAGGUAUC
Molecule: ribosomal RNA, 194 nt
Filed under: uncultured bacterium
Lineage: Bacteria
Description: partial 16S ribosomal RNA
Rfam family: Bacterial small subunit ribosomal RNA
Source: RNAcentral